CGCCGCAGGGGCCCCGCGGAGGAGCCUGGGCUGCCGCGAGACCCCGGCCCGGAGAAGCCGGCCCUCCCCGCCGUCCAUCCCCCCUUGUCUCCCUUCGCCCUACGUGGUCGCCGCUCGCGGGCCCGACCGGCUCAGCUUCUCAUCUUUCUUCGUCAUGUACUAUGGCAUUUUCUGUGGUUUAGUCAAAAAGCCAUGUAAGUUGCCUGUCCUUUGAAGACCGCUUUUAAGGCCUCUGAUAAGACAGCUGCCAUAUUGAAAGUUUUAAAGAAUAUAACGUGUGUAUUAUAACAGAAGGAAAAAUGGAAGUAUUCCAGGAGCUUCGUAAGCCAUCAGCACGUUUGGAGUGUGACCACUGCAAUUUCAGGGGCUCAGAUUAUGAAAAUGUACAAAUCCAUAUGGGUACCAUCCAUCCCGAAUUUUGUGAUGAAAUGGAUGCUGGUGGCUUAGGUAAAAUGAUUUUUUACCAGAAAAGUGCAAAGCUGUUUCACUGCCAUAAGUGCUUCUUCACCAGCAAGAUGUACUCCAAUGUGUAUUAUCAUAUCACGUCCAAACACGCAGCCCCUGAGAAAUGGAAUGAUAAACCAAAACAUCAGCUGAACAAAGAAAUAGAUCUUGGAAAAAGCCCUCCUCUUCCUGAGCAACAGAAAAUACCCUCUAAUUCAGCAGAACUGAAACCUGUACUCGUCCUUUCUGUAGAAACUCAGAAACUUGGCCCAGAAUCCCCAAAGCCUACUCCUGUUACUCCCCUGGAGCCUCAGAAACCUGACCCUGUUGUUUCUUCUGAGCCACAGACACCUUCCCUUACUUCUUCUGAGCCUCCAAAACCCGCUUCUGUUUCUUCACCUGAACUUCCAAACCCAGUUCCUGUUGUUUCUGAAUCUCAGAAACCUGUCCCCGUUCCUUCUCCAGAACCACAGAAACUUGCCCCUGUGUCUACUGAAGCAGUAAAGACUGCUCUUAUUAAUACCAAGUCCCAGAAACAUUCUCAUUUCCCAGAAACACUGGGGUCACCUUCAGCUUCAUCUCCAGAGUCACCAGUUCUAGCUGCUUCCCCUGAACCUUGGGGUCCAUCCCCUACUGCAUCUCCAGAAUCUCGGAAAUCAGCCCAGACUGUCUCCCCUGAGCCCAGGAAGCCAUCCCCAUCUGAGUCUCCUGAAUCUUGGAAGUCAUUUCCUGCUGUCUCCUCGGAACCUAGGAGACCAGCCCCAGCUGUGUCACCUGGUUCUUGGAAGGCAGGGCCACCCGGGUCUCCUAGACCUUGGAAAUCUAGUCCGUCAGCACCAUCAGGACCUUGGAAACCAGCUAAGCCUGCUCCAUCUGUGUCGCCUGGACCUUGGAAACCAAUUCCUUCUGUAUCACCUGGACCUUGGAAACCAACUCCAUCUGUGUCCCCUUCAUCCUGGAAAUCUUCAUCGGUGUCUCCUAGUUCCUGGAAAUCUCCUCCUGCAUCCCCUGAAUCAUGGAAGUCUGGCCCACCAGAACUCCGAAAGACAACUCCCACCUUGUCACCUGAACAUUGGAAGGCAGUUCCCCCAGUGUCUUCUGAGCUCCGUAAAACAGGACCUCCCUUGUCUCCUGAGAUUCGCAAACCAGGCCCACCACUAUCUCCAGAGAUCCGUAGCCCGGCAGGAUCUCCAGAGCUCAGAAAACCCUCAGGGUCACCCGAGCUUUGGAAGAUUUCUCCUGAUCAACGGAAAACUUCUCCUGCCUCUCUUGAUUUCCCUGACUCCCAGAAAAGCUCCCGUGGUAGUUCUCCUGAUCUCUGGAAGUCUUCCUUUUUUAUUGAGCCUCAAAAACCUCCUGUCUUCCCUGAAACCCGGAAAGCAGGUCCUUCAGGGCCAUCUGAAUCCCCUAAAGCAGCCUCCGAGAUCUGGAAACCUGUCCUUUCUAUGGAUGCCGAGACUAGGAAACCUGCCCUUUUUUCUGAGCCUGCCAAAACAGCCCCGGCUGCUUCCCCUGAACCAAGGAAGCGUGCUCUUUUCCCCGAGCCCAGGAAACAUGCCCUUUUCCCCGAGCUUCCUAAAUCUGCUAUAUUCUCAGAAUCUCAGAAGGCACUUGAACUUGGUGAUGAACUGCAGGUAGAUGCCAUAGAUGAUCAAAAAUGUGAUAUUUUGGUUCACGAAGAACUUCUAGCUACACCCAAGAGACUUUUAGAAGAUGCCUUAUUUCCUUGCUCAAAGAAGCUCAAGAAAGACAACCAAGAGAACUCAGAUGCCGAGCUUAGUAGUAGUGAGUAUCUCAAGACAGAUUUGGAUGCGAUAGAUAUUAAGGGCCAGGAAUCAAGCAGUGAUCAGGAGCAGGUUGAUGUGGAAUCUCUUGAUUUUAGUAAAGAGAACAAAAUGGAUAUAACUAGUCCAGAGCAGUCCAAAAAUGUGCUUCAGUUUACUGAAGAAAAAGAAGCUUUUAUCUCUGAAGAGGAGAUAGCAAAGUACAUGAAGCGUGGAAAAGGAAAGUAUUAUUGUAAAAUUUGUUGCUGUCGUGCUAUGAAAAAAGGUGCUGUUUUGCAUCAUUUGGUUAAUAAGCAUAAUGUUCACAGCCCUUACAAAUGCACAAUUUGUGGAAAGGCUUUUCUUUUGGAAUCUCUCCUUAAGAAUCAUGUUGCCGCCCAUGGGCAAAGUUUACUUAAAUGUCCGCGUUGUAAUUUUGAGUCAAAUUUCCCAAGAGGCUUUAAGAAACAUUUAACUCAUUGUCAAAGCCGGCACAAUGAAGAGGCAAAUAAAAAGCUAAUGGAGGCUGUCGAACCACCCCUGGAGGAGCAGCAAAUUUAACUUUUGAACACAGUGUGCAUAUAUGCUCUACAAAGGUGUUUGUUAAAACCAUUCUUUGAAAAUACAGCUAAUUAAGUAGCCUGCUCGGGUCAGUUAGAUGUUGAUGUGUACAGUCGUAUUGUGUUCCGUUGUCUUGGUAGUGUUACAGAGAAUAAGCGUUUGGCUAUUUUUUUUAUCAUUUGUUUAUGUGGCUGUCUUGCAAAUCAAAUUCUUAUAUAUUCCAGAUGGAUGGAAAGUUCUCAUUUCUUUUAAGUAUGUUUGAAUAAUAAUAUGAAGAGGCAGGCAUUCCAUUUUAACAAUCAUGAGCAAGUUGUACUCAGUUUAAAACAUCUGGUGUAUCUUCUUGUGAAACUAACUUUGGUCAGUAGAAGUUAUUUGGAUGUUUACAAAUUAGGCUUGAAAAGUAAAUUUCAGAGAAAUUUUGUUCCCUUUUGUUGAAUGUGUUUUCGGAUCCUAAAAGUUAUUUCGAUCAAAGUUUCUAUUUGAUCAUAUAAAAUUAUUUAUAAGUCUUGAACAGUUCUAGAUGUUUAUUAGCUUUUAUGUCAUGGAAAAUUGGAGUCUCAGGGUUGCUGAUUUUCUGCUAAAAGGGGGAAAAUUGAAUAAGUUUUAUAAAUAGUUUGCAGCCUUCUUUUGGAGGAGAGUACUUAGAAAAAGAGAGUGACUGCAGGAAGCUAAGAGAAAGGUUAAUCUGAUACUGAGUUUUUCUUGCCCUCAGUUGUAAAAUAGACUUUCCAUUGGAGUCUUCCAUUCUGUAUUUUAUCCUAAGAUCUGGCUCUUUACUUCCUUGCCAGCUCACGCCAAUAAAUGGUCCUUAAUUGCCAAAUGUGUUAGAGCUUGUACUUCCUACUGCUGGGUCUUGCAUGUCACCUUUUGGGGCUUAAGAUUGGAGGAAUGAGUAGGAACUGAAAGUCUUCCAGAUUCACAGUAGACAAUUUUAUAAAUAGAUGUUUCUGUUUGAAAAACAUUACUUUUAUGUUUUUUACAGUUCUGUUACUUGUGCCUGUUCAUGGAUAAUUUUAUUCUAAAAUAUUUUGUCAAAUGUGUAUCUAUCAAAUUAAAAGCAAAGUUUUUGUUUCAGCGAAGUCCGUGUCUUAAGUACUUUUCAUUGCACGAUAUUGAGCUUCCAUUAUUCUUUCCUAUUUCCACUUGUUUUCAGCAUAUUAGUUUUCACUCCUGGGAACAGCAUUUUCUAAGCUGUGUCUUCUCUGAGGGGGAGAAAACAGUCAUGUAAACUAAGGAAGGCACUGUAUGUUAGGCACCCCUUUGUGGAAAAUCUCAUCCACACACAUUAGGAUAUUAAAGGUUCUGAGAAAUUUAGCUUGUGGUUCUCAACCCUGGCUGUAAUUAAAGACCUUUACAGACUGUAGGGGUACUUGUCAAGUGCUAUAAGGGAUUCCACUGUGUAGCCAUGAUUGAGAUAACUGGGUUUAAUUUAAUUAAUAAAGAAUAGUUUCUCUUUUCAUGGCAUCCCUGUUAACAUGCCAGUUUGGAAGACAAUAGACAAUGCUGGGUGAAGUCUUAGAAGUUUCAGGUCUGGCUCUUACUUUGGUGAGUAUAGUCAAGGGCAAGAAAAGCACUACAAGUGGCCUGCUGCUAUAAUUGUUGUCUGUUUACGUGGGCACUUUGAGAAUGAGCUCCUUCCAGUUCUGAAGUUUCUUCCUAGGCAAUGAUGCCAUCAAGUAGAAUGGGUAAGAAAACUUGGAUAUACAGUUGUCUUUUUUUUUUUUUUUUUCCUCCAUUUACACUGACUUGACUAAGACAGAUGGAGAAACAAGGGUCUCCGGCAUCUAGAAACCCUCUUGAAGCCUGCAUUCUCAAAUCACUGUUAACACCUAAUUCUUUUCCUUAGGACUUCACCCUUUUGGUGUUUGAGCCUCUCACAGAAUCCUUCCUAAACCUUUGCUCAAAGUGGAGCCAGCUAGAUCUCAGGACUCGCCAUCUGAUUUUUGCUGUAUGUGGAUUUUCUCAUGCCCUAAAAUGGGGAAUCCUUUGCCAGAAAACUGGUUGGCAAUAUCUACUAAGUGAUAUGUUCCCAUCUGUAGCAAAAUGUGGAAAGAAUGAGUACAACUCUCAUUCAUCUGGCUCCAAGGAUAGCCUGAAGACAACUAGUCAAGUAUUUGUUCCAGUAACAACCCAUGAAAAUGUCAGCCUUCGAAAAGAGUCAAGUAUUGGCAUACCUGAAUUAGGAAAGGUAUCUCACUAAAGGGAGCUGUGAAUGUUCUGGAGCAGGGGACUUGAAGCUGCUAGCAAUGUCUGUGUAAGUAAAGUUCAUGAUUAAUUAUCUUUGACCAUGGCCGAGGCAUCAGUACUGGGCAUAACUAUAUAGAAAUGCCUUUACAUUUUGGGAACUAGUGGCAAUGCCUCUCUGAAAGCAGAAUUUAGGAAGUGGAAAACUGGCAUCUUUAUAAAGUGUUUUCAUGUCCAUGCUGUCAUUCACCUCUGAAGAGCUUUGGGAGAUAAGUCUAGUGGAAUUGUUCCCAACUUACAAGUGAACCAAAGAGAUUCAGAGGUGGUAUCACUUGCCCAAAUUCACGCUUGGUUUUACUGACUCAAGGUCUGGUCUUCCUUUAUUACACCGUCCCUCCUUUUCCUGUGCUAGAGCCUCCCUUUCUAUGACUAAAGUGAGUCACUACCCCCUUUUAACAGCUUUUGCUUGACAGUCCUUUACAGAUACCAAGUCUUAGAUGUCACAGUUACAGAAACCUUAAAAAAAAAAAAAAAUUUUUGUGGGG
Loxodonta africana (African savanna elephant) is the source of this 5500-nucleotide RNA transcript. It is a transcript of the gene named chromosome alignment maintaining phosphoprotein 1, with no coding region annotated. The record is from RefSeq and is a predicted model, not a curated record. The transcript has 5 exons. NCBI's taxonomy places the organism in Eukaryota, Metazoa, Chordata, Mammalia, Proboscidea, Elephantidae.